Molecule: RNA transcript, 8215 nt
Organism: Prosopis cineraria
Lineage: Eukaryota; Viridiplantae; Streptophyta; Magnoliopsida; Fabales; Fabaceae
Gene name: organelle RRM domain-containing protein 6, chloroplastic
Exons: 7
Source: RefSeq, a predicted model, not a curated record
CAAUUACCACUUAGCCAGGGGUUGAUGCUGUUUCCUGCCGCCGGCUCGAGGGUCUGUGGAUACUCAGCCUAGGCCAUGCUCUUCGCUUUCUGAGUCCCCGUUCGCGAUGCUUACCACGACUGCGUUUUCCUCCGUCUUCGCCUUCCGUUUAGCCACCGUAAGAGCAUCCGAAUCCAGGUCAACUUAUUCUUUUCCUCUCAAGCUCAGAGCAUCUCUCCAUGACUACCCGCUCGCAAGCAAAAUUGUGGUUAAAAAUUUAUCAUAUUCCUCUGGUGAGACUAUUCUUGAGAAGGAAUUUUCCAACUUUGGCGAGAUAGCUGAUGUUAAAGUUGUUAAAGAUACCACAAAAAGAUCUAAGGGAUAUGCUUUUAUUCAGUACACCUCUCAAGAUGAUGCAAUGCUUGCAAUAGAAAACAUGGAUCAAAAGGUAUUAGAUGGGCGGAAGAUUUAUGUUGAAAUAGCAAAACCUGGGAAGGAUGCUUUUCAUGGCCACCCAAAGACCUCAGGCCCCCCAAAGGAGUGGCAGAAACCAGAUCAAGAGGAAGUGGUGGAUUGCUGGUACUGAUCAAAAUUAUAAAUGAUGGAAUGGAACAGUUUCCCAAUCAUAUAUUGCCAUGUGGAUUUUUUUUACGAGUCCUCGUUCAUUCCAAUAACUCUAAAGGUGUGUUUGGAUUUAUGGAGAUUUUGAUUUGAAUCAAAUCCCUUAUUUGGAUACGUUAAAAAUUAUGGAGUUGGAUUUAAUUCAAAUCCAAAUCCAUUUCUUAUUAUAUUUCUUAUAUAAAGCUCAAUCUACUUGUGAAAAUGCAACCUGGUUCUUGUGUGAAUGAGGUAGAUAGAAACACAGGCUUCUCGCUAGACAACUAGUUCACACAAUGGCUUACUCUAGUUCUUGCGAGAAUUGGAUAAUAGAGGUAAUGACCUCUCUAGUUGCUUGUUCUUGCAUGGGUAGGAUUCAAUUCUUGCGAGAAUUGUUGGACAAAUUUUGGAACACAAGACUUAGGAUUUUUCAUGAAGUGUUCAAGGGUUUUUAUAAGCUCUCUAAUGUAAACUUGAGAAUUUCAAAAGGAUAAACUACUUCUCGUGUGAAACAAUUAGUUCUUGUGAGAACUUGAUUGGGUAGAACUCAAGUUGUUAUUGGAACUCUUAUUCUCAUGAGCAAUACUCCUACUUCUUGCGAGAAUUAGAAGUCUAUAUUCAAGGUUACCAUUGUCACUCCACUUCUCGCGUGAUGUAGUUGGGCACAACCAAGCAUCAUUUUGGAGCUCAAUUCUUGCAUGAAUCAAAUUGAUUCACCCAUGAAUGAGCAAAUAGAAUAGGAUGCCAUUUUAGAAGUCUAGUUCUUGCCAUAACACCAUCUAGUUCUUGCGAGAAUGGGUUCAACGGGUACAAAGGUAUUGUAAGGCAUUUCAACUAAAUCACAUGUCACUAGCUAUUUCUCGCAACAAUAGACAUGAAACACCAUGAAAUGCUUUCUCUCUUUCUUUCUUUUUUAUAUUUUUUUAGUACAAAUAAAAAUAAAGGAGAUAUUCAGAAUUGUACUAACUAUAGAGGGAUUAAGCUCAUGAGCCACACAAUGAAAUUGUGGGAGAAAGUAAUUGAGCACAGGUUGAGAUUGGAGACAAGUAUUUCUGAGAAUCAGUUUGGUUUUAUGCCAGGUAGAUCAACUACAGAGGUGAUUUAUCUACUAAGGAGAUUAAUGGAAAAGUAUCGUUGUAAAGAUAAAGAUCUACACAUGGUUUUUAUUGAUUUGAAAAAAGCUUAUGACCGUAUACCAAGAGAAGUGCUUUGGAAAGCGUUAGAAAAAAGGGAGUACGGAUUGCUUAUAUUAAAGCCAUACGAGAUAUGUAUGAGGGGGUAAAAACUAGUAUAAGAAUGCCUAGUGGUCAAACAAAGGAUUUUCCUAUAAAGAUUGGAUUACAUCAGGGAUCAUCUCUGAGUCCUUAUUUGUUCAACUUGAUCUUAAAUGUUUUGACGGAACAUAUUCAAGGGGAAAUUUCAAAAUGUAUGCUCUUCGCGGAUGAUAUAGUUCUUAUAGCAGAGACAAGAGGAGAGGUUAAUUGUAAACUUGAGUUAUGGAGGAGGACAUUGGAGUGGAAAGGUUUUCGUCUGAGUAAAAAUAAGACGAAAUAUUUAUAUUGUAAAUUUGGUAAAGGACUAUUUGACAAUAAUUUGGAAGUGAAAUUGGGAGAUCAAAUUAUACCUCAAGUGGAAAAGUUUAGAUAUUUGGGAGCCAUUAUUCAAAAUGAUGGCAAAAUCAGUGGAGAUAUUUCACAUAGAAUUCAAGCUGGGUGGUUUAAUUGGAGAAAAGUUAAAGGAGUUAUUUGCGAUCGUAAGGUGCUUAAUAAACUUAAAGGAAAGUUUUAUCGCACUGCUAUCAGACCGGCAAUGUUAUAUAGUAGUGAAUGCUUGGUUUUAACGGGACAGCAAGAGCAUAAAGUUGGAGUAGCAGAGAUGAGAAUGUUACAAUGGAUGUGCGGACAUACACGUAAAGAUAAAAUUCGAAAUGAGCACAUACGCGAAAAAGUGAGGGUGACACCUAUUAAGGAAAAAAUGGUAGAAAAUCAGCUGAGAUGAUUUGGGCAUGUACAAAGAAGACCAAGGGAGGCACCAGUGAGAAGAGUGGAACAUAUAACUUUGAGUCCGAUUAAGAGAGGUAGAGGAAGGCCUAAGAGAACACUUUUGGAAGUUAUUGAACGCGAUCUUUUAAUUAAUAAUAUUUCUAAAAGCUUGAUAAAUGAUAUAGCACAAUGGCGUCUUGCAAUCCAUGUAGCCGACCCCACCUAAUGGGAUAAAGGUUUGUUGUUGUUGUUGUUGUUGUUGUUGUAGUACAAAUAAAAUCUAUUAAUACUCAAACAAAGAAAUACAAGAAACAAACAAAUACAAGAAACAAACGAACAGAAAUCCUUCAUCAUUUUCCACCUUACAUAGUAAUAAAAGGUGGUGAGUAUUGAUCAAAGAUUGCAAGAUCAUUGGAAAUACUAUGACCUCUCUUAGAAAGAAGAUCAAUAAUACUAUUUGAAUCUCUAUUAAUUAGGUUUACAUAAACUAGCCAGCCUUUAUGUAACAAAUCAAAAGUGGAUUUGGUGACACCUUUGAAUAGAUGGUGGUGGGAAAAUUAUCACAAAAUAAGAUUAACUGCCUGUGUAGUUACAAUAAGCUUUGAUCUUUCAAAAUCCUCUCUCCCCCAACAUAUCUUAAGACUCUUCAUAAGACCAUACAAUUUUGCAAUGGUUGGUGGGCAAGAAGGUAAAAACUAUUGCAGAAACCAAACAUAGGUCUAAUUUGUUCCCUUCACAAUCCCACCACAAGCACUAAGACUAUCCCCGGCAACAUCUUGAGCUCAACAAGCAAAUCAUCUCAUCUCUCUUCUAUUGUUAACCUGAGCCAUACAAUGCGCAUCCACCAUUGCUUUUUGCAAAACUCUCUUAGCAUCAAUACACACAUCAGCCUCUUCAGCAUUGAAGACUCCGCCCCCCUCAAAUUCCAAAUUUCCCAACAAGUAUAUGAAAAGAGUAUGAAAUGCUUUCUAAAAUAUUUUCUAAGUUAAGAUCUUGAUGUUUGAGGCUAUGACUUGUCUUUAAUUGUAUUCUACUUUCUAUAUGCAAAUACAAGCUCUCAAAAAUGAUUUUUAGCAAUUGAACUAAGAGAAAGCAUAAAUAAUAAACUUAUUAACAUUAGGUAUUCUCAUGCUCUCUUAAUCCUUUGCUCUCUUGAUGGUUUUGCCAUUCUCUUGAUUUUAUAAUCCACACAAGCAACAAAACUUUCUCGUUUUGUAAUCAUCAGAACGAAGUAUAUCAUGAAACACAAGCAAGAGUAGGUAAAUAUCUUGUGAUGGAAAAUUAUGGUGUAGAGGUGGGUGAAUCGUUAGAUUCUGAUAGUUGUCCCCUUUUUCUAUUAGUUUCUAUCAAUAUUGUUGCGUGGAAUUGUAGAGGCACAUCCUCAAAAAUUUUAGUAGAAGCAUAAAAGACUUAUUGAGAGGGAGGAAUGUGAGUUUCUUGAUUCUUGUUGAAACCUGCGUUUGUGGUAGUCAAGCAAAUUGAAUUUGUGAUAAGUUAGGCUUUAGUUACUAGAUUCGGGUUGAGUCCACUACUUUUCUGAGGGGUAUCUGGAUUCUUUGGAAUGAUGAGGGCUAUUUUAUCAUAUAUGUGGCAUCGACUACCCAUUAUAUUCACGUACAGGUUAAAGAAAUUUGUUCUAAUAAGAUUGUCUGGGUUACAAGAAUUUAUGUUAAACCAAAUCCUCAUGCUAGACAAAUUCUUUGGGAAGAUUUAAUCAAUCUUAGCAAAGGUAUGAUUGGAGCCUUGUUAGCUAUUAGUGACUUUAAUGCUUAUCUCUCAAUAAGAGAUAAAUGUGGAGGUGUUGAGCCAAAUGUCUCAUACAUACUUCAAUUUAAUAACUGUGUUUAGAGAUCUUGUUUGCAAGUUGUGGAUUGUGUUGGGGAAUGAUAUACAUGGGAAAGGAAUCUACCUAAGGAGAGAAUUGACUAGGCCCUUAUGAAUAACUUUUAGGCAAACCCUUUUCUUAGAACUUUGGUUCACCAUCUACCUAGGUUUGCUUUGAUCAUAGAACAAUCCUUGUGAGUACAGAUUGGCUAGAACCAUAGAGGAGGGGCACUCUAACUUUUUGAUGCGAAGUUGCAUGGAUCUUAGAAGAGGGUUUUGAUGAAGUGGUUAGAAACAUGUGAUCGUUUGGGGAUUGGAAUGGGAAGAUUGUCUGUCACAGAUUGGAAUCAACAUAAGGUGGGAAAGUUAAUAGUUAAGAAAAAUGGUUUAUUGAAAAAAAUCCAAGGAGUGGAUAGGGUUGGCGUCAGGAUAAUCCUUUAUUGGCUUAAUUGGAAAAGAACUUGUGGAAGGAGUAUAAUAAGGUCCUUACCUAAGAGGAGCUCAUUUGGUACCAAAAAUCGAGAUAUAGCUGGCUCAUAUUGGGGGGAUAAAAAUAGUAAAGUUUUUCAUGCAUCCACUAUUGCUAGAAGACAAAAAAGGAUUGAAGGGUUGAGAAAUGAAAAUGAUGGGUGGAUAUUCGACCAAGAGGAGCUUGAGAAAAUGGUAGCCAAUUACUAUAGAACUUUCUUUACAUGUCAUACAGAGUUGAGUAAUUUGUUGAAUACUAGACACCAAUUACCCUAACUUAACAUAUUAGAAUUGGAAGAACUUCAUCAUGAGGUGAGCAAUGAGGAAAUUAAGGAGGUUACUUUUGAUCUGGGAUCUUUCAAAGCUCCUAGACAAGAUGAGAUACAUGCUUUCUUUUAUUAGGAUUAUUGGCACAUCAUUGGUAGGGAUUUUAUUCCUUAAUUAAGAAGCUCUUGGCCACCUUUUGUUUGUAGAUGAAAUUAAUGGUACUCAUCUUAUGCUAAUUCUUAAAGUUGAUGUUUUGGAGACCAUAAAGGACUUUAGGCCUAUUUCACCCUAUAAUGAAAGUUAUAAGAUUUUGUCUAAAGUCUUGAGUUGGAGACUAAGGAACAUUAUGGGUAAGCUAGUAGGUAUGUGCCAAUGCAACUUUAUUGCUGGUAGACAAAGUAGUGACAACAUUAUCAUUGCUCAAGAAGUCAUACAUUCUAUGAAGUUGACAAAAAAAAAAAGGAAUGAUGGCGAUUAAAGUUGACCUUAAAAAAGCGUAUGAGUACUUAGAAUGGGAUUUUAUCAAUGAUACCUUGCAAUGAAUUGGUUUAUCUGAGUCUCUUUGCAAAAUUAUUAUGGCCUAUGUUAAAAGCUUAUCAAUGCAAGUGCUUUGGAAUGGAAGCCUAGCAAAGGUGCUCAAACCUUUAAGGGGAGUGAGACAAAGAGAUCCUAUUUCCCCAUAUAUCUUUACUCUAUGCAUGGAAAGAUUGAAUCUUGUCAUUAAUGAUGCAGUGGAUGAAACAGAUUGGAAACUUGUCCAACUUGUUACUAGGGGUCCAAGGAUCUCCCACCUAUUUUUGCUGAUGACUUGGUGUUGUUUGGUGAAGCUUCAUCUGUGCAAGUUGAUACUAUACUUCCAUGCCUUUAAUCUUUUCUAUGAAGCCUCUAGAGAAAAAAUAAACAAAACUAAAACAAAGGUUUGCUUCUCAAAAUCUAUUCUCUUUUCAAGAGCUUAUAAGCUUAGUUGCAAAUUGGGUGUUGGCUUGACAAGUGAUCCUGGUAAAUUCUUGGGAAUACCCCUCAUCUAUAAAAAGGCAUCUUAUGUUUUAAUCAUCCCAAUCCUCAAAAAAACUCAAAGGAGGUUGUCUAGUGGGAAGGGUAGAUUCUUGAAUAUAGCUGUUAGAAUAACUUUGAUUGGAGCAAUCCUUUCUAGCCUCCCAUCCUAUCACAUGCAAACAAUGACCCUCCUAAAAUGCCUUUUCAAGAGAUAGAAAGUAGUCGAAACUCCUUUGGGGAGAAGAUGAGGUUACUAGGAAAAUUCAUCUGAUUGCGUUGGAUGAGAUUACUCGAGAAAAAAAGGAGGGUGGGUUGGGGAUCAAGGCCUUUCGAAGACAAAAUAAAGCUUUUUUUGAUGAAACUUUGCUGGAAUUUAAUGUGCAAUGAAAAGCAUUAUGGGUUAAAGUUUUAAGAAGAAAGUACAAAUGCGGUAAGGAAAGUAUGUCUUAUGUUAUGAAGAAACAAAACUCAUCUUUCACAUGGAGGGGUAUCUAUGAAGUUUGGGAAAAGUUCAAAGAAGAGUGGGAAAGAAAAUUCGGAAUGGUAAGUCUACUAAUUUCUAGUUUCAAAAUUGGUCAUUGCUAAAUGUCCUUUUAAUUGAAUUAGUUGCUAGUCCGGAGUAAUAUAUAGAUAAAAAUGAGAAAGUCUCGGAUUAUGUGAAUCAGUGGGGGUAGUGGAAUGUUGAACAACUAAGCUCUUGGUUCUCGUUGAACACAGUUUUGUAUCUAACCCAUGCCCCCCGCCUAGUGAGGAGAGAGAAGAGGACAAAUACUAUUGGAAACCAUCAACAGAUGGUAAUUUUAUUGUUAAAUAAGCCUACUCUUUUUUAUCUGCGAGUACAAAUGGGAGAGCUAAUAGUAUUUGGAAGAUGUCGUGGAGGAGGCCUAUCUUGGAAAAGAUAAAAUCCUUCAUGUGGCUCUUUGCACAUGGAAGGACUCACAUAUGAGUUGUGGAUGAAAAGAGUGUUGAACUCUAGUUUUGAUGAUUAUAAAAUGGAGAAGUAUUUAUUUUGCAGAUGAUUUUGCAUUUGAAGACUAAAGAAAAUUUGGAGUGUAAGCUUAAAUCUCUAAUUUUCAUCUUAAUCUAUAUCCCUUGUCAUUUUAUGUCUCGAGAUAAGUAUUCAAUUUAUCUCAAAUAUCCUUGAACAAGAUCAGUUUGUGGCUAAUGUGUAUUAAAAUUUCUUCAUACUAAGUUUUUUUUGUUCAUAUCGGUAUGAACUACUUCACACUGGUAUCAAGGAUCUCAUACUCCCUCUUUGUUGGCCAUACUGCUAUGAAACUGUCUUUUGUUCUUUUAAGUUUCUUCAUAUCAAUAUCAUCAUCACUGUUUGUUACUCCCAUUUAAAUUUUUUGUACUAAUAUGAACUACUUCAUAGCUAUAUCAAAUGUCUUCAUACCUAUGUGAACUUAUUCAUACUUGUAUGAAUUACUUUCCCUCAACGUGCUUUAUGAUUUUCACUUGGGUGUAUGUUCAUUCCUGCUCGUAUGAGAUUUAAUCUUUCCUUUGUUUCAUGUUUAUUCUCAUACCGGUAUCAAGCUCUUUAUUGUGAUAUGAAGUUGAAGUUUUUUGCUCUAUUUUUCGCAUACCAAAACAGAGUAUCUUUUGUUCAAUUUUAUCUCAUUCAAUCCUUAAUCCUUUUUGUUCCUUUCAGUUGUGUUCAUUAUUCUACCUGCCUUUAAUUCUUUUAGACACAAUCAAAGAUGGAGCCAAAUAGAAGAGAGACCAAUAUGAUGACAAAUAGUAGUGGUGGUGGUUCACUUACAGGACCAAUGAUGACCCCACUAGACCAAGUAAUUAUGAAGGUGAGGGCUCCAGUAGGAGCAAGGGAAAGAAAUGGGUGACUAAAGAGUGAAGAGCAUCAUUGUAUAGCUCUUCUCUUUCCUCUUUUUAGGUUUUGUAAUGAAUAUGUUAUGAUGUUAUUCCAACUCAGGAUCAUUACAUUGUUUCACUAUCACUUGUAUGAAACUCUAUGUGAUGUGUGCAUAUCCCGGCCUAAAAUUGUGAUGCUUGUGAUUAAGUGUAAAUGGCCAAGAUACUUAUACAAGUGAUUUAUUGCAUUAACUAUAUGUUGAAUGACCAAAUGAGAUUUAUGUUGAAUUUUA